UCUAUGGUGUGUGGAAGAAAAUCUUGAAACCUCCUCUUCCCUUGGAUGUGCAUGGAGUGGAAUUCACUAUUGCCCUCUUCGAUGCUCUUCCAUCACUUUUUCCUUCCCCAACUACACCACCAAAGCGGCUGGGAAAUGCCAGUGAGGCUCUCCUUCAUAUCCUUAAGCCCGGUGAAGAUGCUAUGUUAUACCUGCAGAAGCGGCCCCUCUCCUCCCCGGUGCUGCUUUUUGAUGGAACAUCCACCAUUGUUGCUGUGGGAAACGUACCAGUGAGCACUCUUCCAUUGGAGGAAUUUUGGGAAGGAAUGUUGGUGUUAAUGGCAUAUUACUACACUUUGCACUUAACAUACCCAAAAUGUGUUGCAACGCUCCUCUCUGUCAUACAAACUGAGGUUAUCUGUGAUACCAUCCAUAAUCAAGAUGCCACUAGCACAUAUAAAAGAGCAAUAGCUGAAUGGAAGUCCUUCUUUGGAAAAUAGGUGAAUGUGCAGCGUUUUAUCAGGUCAGAUGGGGUUGUUUGUUUUAUAGUACCUCUGUGUAGCUUUUCUUCAUGACUUGGCUAGCAAUGUUCUGUGUUUAUUUGCUAGAAGAGCUCUUAAACAGCACUUCACCUGAAGCAUGUUAAGGUUUAACUAAGCACUUUUGUUGAUUGUGCUGUUAUUAUUGCAAUGUGUGAUUGCCAUGUAAUUUGCAUUUGGGCCUUUAGUAGUAUUUUGUAGUAGCUUAAUUUUGUAGUAUUGUCAACAAUAUAUCGUUUAGUGAGCUUAAUAAAUGUUGACUAUUAUCGUACUGCUGUCCAGGUUGUGAUUUCUGUAGAAUACAGUAUAUUCUAAGAAUAAGAACUGGUUUAAAGUUUUUUGGGCUUAGUCUUAAUAUGGAUUUUGGUUUAUUUCAAGAUGAAUCAACUUGUUUCAAAAUGUAAC
Molecule: long non-coding RNA, 923 nt
Organism: Clarias gariepinus (North African catfish)
Lineage: Eukaryota; Metazoa; Chordata; Actinopteri; Siluriformes; Clariidae
Exons: 3
Source: RefSeq, a predicted model, not a curated record